Mya arenaria is the source of this 249-nucleotide long non-coding RNA. RefSeq lists it as uncharacterized. Lineage: Eukaryota; Metazoa; Mollusca; Bivalvia; Myida; Myidae. The record is from RefSeq and is a predicted model, not a curated record. The transcript is spliced from 3 exons.
AGGGUUUGCAUUGGUGUGUCUCCAAUGUAGCGGUAUAUCUCAACCCCGACAUUGUAGACUCGUUUCAACAUGUGAUCCAGGCGAGGUUUGCGCUGUUGAAAAAUUAACCACCCUAGAGGGACAAAAUCUAUACAAUGUAGGAUGUGUGUCCGAACAGCGAUGCCAGGCAAACAACACAAACACCGUCGACAGCUGUCUGUCAUGUUGUCAGUCGGACCUAUGUAAUGCAGAGGGCUGUGGAGAACCAGG